AGUGAACGCUGGCGGUAGGCCUAACACAUGCAAGUCGAACGGCAGCACAGUAAGAGCUUGCUCUUACGGGUGGCGAGUGGCGGACGGGUGAGGAAUACAUCGGAAUCUACUUUUUCGUGGGGGAUAACGUAGGGAAACUUACGCUAAUACCGCAUACGACCUACGGGUGAAAGCAGGGGAUCUUCGGACCUUGCGCGAUUGAAUGAGCCGAUGUCGGAUUAGCUAGUUGGCGGGGUAAAGGCCCACCAAGGCGACGAUCCGUAGCUGGUCUGAGAGGAUGAUCAGCCACACUGGGACUGAGACACGGUCCAGACUCCUACGGGAGGCAGCAGUGGGGAAUAUUGGACAAUGGGCGCAAGCCUGAUCCAGCCAUACCGCGUGGGUGAAGAAGGCCUUCGGGUUGUAAAGCCCUUUUGUUGGGAAAGAAAAGCAGCAGGUUAAUACCCCGCUGUUCUACGGUACCCAAAGAAUAAGCACCGGCUAACUUCGUG
This 491-nucleotide ribosomal RNA is filed under the name uncultured bacterium. Its description in RNAcentral is "partial 16S ribosomal RNA". It matches the Rfam family "Bacterial small subunit ribosomal RNA", at positions 29 to 507 of the family's 1533-position model. The record is from RNAcentral.